RNAcentral lists this ribosomal RNA (484 nucleotides) under uncultured bacterium. RNAcentral's name for it is "partial 16S ribosomal RNA". It matches the Rfam family "Bacterial small subunit ribosomal RNA", at positions 30 to 507 of the family's 1533-position model. The record is from RNAcentral.
AUUGAACGCUGGCGGCAGGCCUAACACAUGCAAGUCGAGCGGAUGAAGGGAGCUUGCUCCUGGAUUCAGCGGCGGACGGGUGAGUAAUGCCUAGGAAUCUGCCUGGUAGUGGGGGAUAACGUCCGGAAACGGGCGCUAAUACCGCAUACGUCCUGAGGGAGAAAGUGGGGGAUCUUCGGACCUCACGCUAUCAGAUGAGCCUAGGUCGGAUUAGCUAGUUGGUGGGGUAAAGGCCUACCAAGGCGACGAUCCGUAACUGGUCUGAGAGGAUGAUCAGUCACACUGGAACUGAGACACAGUCCAGACUCCUACGGGAGGCAGCAGUGGGGAAUAUUGGACAAUGGGCGAAAGCCUGAUCCAGCCAUGCCGCGUGUGUGAAGAAGGUCUUCGGAUCGUAAAGCACUUUAAGUUGGGAGGAAGGGCAGUAAGUUAAUACCUUGCUGUUUUGACGUUACCAACAGAAUAAGCACCGGCUAACUUCGUG